AGGAAGAGGCAGACUCAGAGGCUCCGGUGGGAUGGGGCCACCUCUCCUCACCAGCAAGGAGGUAAAGAGCAGAAGCUCGAAGUCCUCAGCUCACAUUCCACCCGGAACGGUGAAAAGGUGUUGCUAAGACUAACAGGAUGCAUCAGUGCUUGUCUUUUCCAGAAACCAACCAGCCACAUAAGAAAUCUUUAAUUAACAAACAUAUUUAUAAGAGUGGAAAAAAUCAGGCCACCAGAUGGGGAUAUCCCUGAGGACAGGGGCAGCAUCACUCAUCUCUGUCCCCUUGGCACCAGCACAGUUGAGGAGAUGCUCCACGUGUGUUUGUUGAGCAGAUCAGUGGGAGUGAAGCAACUGACCCGAGUUCUUCCCUGGCCGCCCGGGAGAAGAUGAUGGAGACAGCACGUAACAUUCUGUUCCUCUGCUUUGCUCAUCUCCAGGCUGUCGGGAUGAUGGAAAAAGUGCAUCUUACCCUGAAAUGCUGCCACAUGGGGAGGAAGGUGACUGCAGUCACAAGGGAUGUACAUUGGCUCUGAUCACAACAUGGCUGCAGGACGGAGAAGCUGCUCCCCAGGACGCCUGGCUCCCACUCCUUGCAGACCUGGGUUCAAGUUCAGCCUCCUCAGUUGCAAACCUGGGGCCUUCCUAUUCGGAGUCUCUCUGCUGCCCAUUUGGCAAGCAUUGAGUUAGUAAAAACAAACCCCCAGCAUUCUAAUGAGGAUUAAUGAGACUGUCAGCUCCAGGUGGACAGGUAGCUUGUGAAGGGCUGACAGAUUGCCACUUUCCUUGCCCUCCGUGAACAGUUGUUAGGGACGUGAAUGAACAAAUCACAUUAGCCCUGGGCCCACAAUAAAUUACACUGAUGUCAGUUUCUCCUUUCACUGCCAGGAAAAGUUUAGUUCAAUAAAUGUUUCCUAAGCCUUUGCUCUGGAUGUGCUCAACGAUGUGGGGGGUACAAAAGAGAAAACCACAUGAGCACCCCUCCAGACUCCAGGAUGAUCUGAACUCAAGUAAAACACAAGACAGGAUGAGCUAAGUAGACUAAGAAAAGGAGGCCAUGGGAGGCUGGCUUGAUGGGGGCAGGACCUGCUUGACCAGCUGGGAAAAGGGAGUGAGGAAAGAAGUCUUUCUGGAGGAGGCUGAAUGCCAGUGUGCACACAGAAGACGGUGUUAAGAGCAAUUGUGGGGUACACUUGGGUUUUAUUAGACCAAGGGAUCCAGGGUUGCCCAGGCCCCCCUACACAUGAGAGAUCAAAGAUGAUAUUAAUGGCUGGACUUGUACCCAAAACCUCCAAAUGGAAUUUGCUGGAGCUUUUUCGGAAGUUCUUAAGCCCAAAUUCAGAUUUUGGAAUCAUGUCACCAGCCAGCCAACCGUGUGGGACAAGAGACCAGAGUUGAAAGAACUUGAGCACGUGCCUGA
This 1417-nucleotide long non-coding RNA is filed under the name Equus caballus (horse). RNAcentral's name for it is "lncRNA (ENSECAG00000036882.3)". The record is from RNAcentral. Lineage: Eukaryota; Metazoa; Chordata; Mammalia; Perissodactyla; Equidae.